This is a long non-coding RNA of Lycium barbarum (goji berry), 1171 nucleotides long. RefSeq lists it as uncharacterized. The record is from RefSeq and is a predicted model, not a curated record. NCBI's taxonomy places the organism in Eukaryota, Viridiplantae, Streptophyta, Magnoliopsida, Solanales, Solanaceae. The transcript has 2 exons.
UCUCUUUCCCCUCUUUCCCACUUCAGCAAAGAACCUUUUCUUGACAACAAUGGCAGGUUUUGUUACCCCCCACUUCGUGCAAUACUUCCUCUCUUCACGCCUCAAUCCUGUCGUCUUCUUCAUCUCUAUCCCUUCCCCAUUUCCUUUUUCAGGAGCGGGCCAAAUCUUGAGUCGAAAAGGAAGCUUUUGUUGUUCCAUUUUUUCGAAUAAUUUCAGGCGCGCCUCUGGUCCCCUCUUUCCCCUCCAUUUUCAGAAAAGCUCAGUCUCCCUUUCACCCUCACAGAUUUGUUUACCCCCAUUUCGUGCAAGCCUUUUGUAUUCUUAUGUGACCAUCUGCUCAAAAAACAUUUCAACGUUCAGAUUUGAACGGUCCAUUUGACUCAACUUUGAAUCAAUGUCAUUAUCCCGCCCAAAUCGAAACCCUAGGUUUGAUUGGCACCUAUAAAUAUUGUUUGAGUUCUCAGCCGAAGAAAAGGGACGAAUCCCUACUCUUUGUUUUUUUAAGUAUCCAGUUCAAUUCAUCAAAAACAGAGAUUAGAAUACCCGAGUAUUUUUUGGUUACAAAGUCUUUCCUUUUUAAUCUGGUCGAGGACCCUUUCUUUUGGUUUUACUGAGCGUUUUUCGGAGAUACCGAACUGUUUUCCAGAUUUGUUUCUUUUCCGGUGAACUUUAGCCGCGACAAAGAUUAUUCGUCUUACCCAACUCUAGUGUCGAAUUCGUUUCUGAGGAGAGGAUUUAGAUUCGUGACUCCCGCACCCCGUUCGCUGCGCUCGGACAAGGGGAUUCUUCAUCUCUCGCAUUCGGUGUUGGGCCAAAGCCCAACGAAAUUUCCUUCUCGAGUCGUCCUCAACCCGCAGCGUAUAAAGAAAGAUUCUUGGGCCAAACCCAUAUAGCAAAGAGCCUAUUGCAACAGCCCACUUCCUCUACUCUAUUCUUUUUGUGUGUUUGACUUGUAUGGAUUGUCUAACGUUUUGUCUUGUUAUUGUUUAUCUUAGCUUAGAUGAGUCCUAGUGUGGUUUGUAGGAAUUUUAGGAUUUUUUUGGAAGAUAAAGUAGGAUCGUUUAAAACUUAGAAUGAAUUCAAAUGUUAGUAUCUACAACAUUUUUGGGCUACAUGAAUUGAUUUCUCAAAAGACGCCAAGGGCUAAAUAAUAACUAUACCUUUCAAACAA